CUCUUUUUUUUGCUUGAACCACCAUUUCUUCGUACUGCUGUCUGUGUUUCUGAGCUUCUUCUGCUGGUUUUGCUGGGAGGUUCGCUGGUCUGUCCUCUAAAAUAAGUGCAGUAGUGGAGAGUGGCUCAAAAUCAAGGUUCUUCCUCACAUUCUGCUUAGGAGAGAGUGGUCUGUGAGCUCGUCCAGUUUUUUCUUCAUAUUCCUUUUGUAUUUUUUUAGGAUCUUUCUGUGAGUUUUCUCUGAGGGGUACUUUUCCA
This 257-nucleotide long non-coding RNA is filed under the name Gallus gallus (chicken). The record is from RNAcentral. Lineage: Eukaryota; Metazoa; Chordata; Aves; Galliformes; Phasianidae.